Long non-coding RNA from Stomoxys calcitrans (stable fly), 515 nucleotides. RefSeq lists it as uncharacterized. NCBI's taxonomy places the organism in Eukaryota, Metazoa, Arthropoda, Insecta, Diptera, Muscidae. The transcript has 2 exons. The record is from RefSeq and is a predicted model, not a curated record.
UCUUCAGUAUCCUAUUGUCUAUAUAUAACCGGUGGGUUUGGUGGGUUGGCGGCACCAGGCUAAUAUUAAGUAGUAAAUCAAAUGAAAAUUGAUCUUUUCAUAAUCUCAAAAUGUAAGAAGGCGUAAUUGGUCUAUCUUGUUGAUGUUUAAACCAGUAAGGAAGGGCAAAAGUCGGGCGGUGCCCUAUAAGUACAAUGUGGGAGCUAUAUCCAGUUCUGAACCAAAUUUUGAUGAACCUCGGCGAGCAAAUAGGUUCAAACUCUCUAUUUCAUUCUGGACCUGGAUUUCGAGCAAACUUCUCAGAUAAUGUGGUAGUCGUCGAGGAAAGCGUUGUGCAAAAUGUUGGCAAGAUUGAUCAAAGAAUGCGCUUGCAGUGGCUCUAGGAGUGGAAAUCGGGCGAUAUCUAUAUAUACCAGCUGACUCGGACCCGCUCCGCUGCGCCUUCUUUUACUUAAUAUGGAACAAAAGUUUUCUUUGAAUAUUUAUUUUCGACAAUUAAAGAGCUUUUAGUGAAA